RNAcentral lists this long non-coding RNA (1334 nucleotides) under Homo sapiens (human). RNAcentral describes it as "HSALNT0157710". The record is from RNAcentral. Lineage: Eukaryota; Metazoa; Chordata; Mammalia; Primates; Hominidae.
UUGUACCCAUGUGGACAUUAGUGCUCUCCUGCUUCUCACUAGGGGCUGGAAGCCUUCCAUCUGAUAAUGGACGGUAAUGGAUGGAUGGCGGAUUUGCACGGCGUGUGGUCCCCAGGGGAGACAGCGGGGCGGGUGACUCAGAGGAUGGGAGCCUCGCCCGCCCGGCAGCACAGCCCUCCCCAGCUCCAGGAGCAUUUCCUCCUGAAAACAGGAAGCGACCUCGGUUUAUAAAUGCCCCGAAGGGAACAUUUCAGCUGUCUCCUCCGUGAUUGUACAAAGAACCAGGCAGAGAUCCUGGAAGGUCAUGAGGAUGGGAAGUGAGUCCGCGGGGGUCGUGUCUCCCCCCGGGGUGCGUGGGGCUCAGCAACACGUGUGGGGCCCUUCUCCCCAAGGCUCACUCUAGGACUCCCGGGAAAGACAGCUUGGGUGAACCUGGGUGUGGCAGGUAUUACAGGAAGGAAAAUGGGCUGUAUGGGUGAUAGAUAGGAGUGUAGGGGGAAGGGAUAGCAGGCGGAGCGGGGAAGGGAUGGCGCAGGUGGAGCACGGGCCCCUGCAGAACCAUGAGGCCACUAGGUUUCAGAGCCCUCAGGGUCCUACUGUCCCAGAAAGCCUGCGGGUCCAGCACCGGGCUUCUGUGUCUUAGGGCAGCUUUUGGAGGUGCUUCCUUUGUCUGCUAACUUACCUUUACCUUCCUACAUUUUGUUUGAAGUCAGAGAAAAUUGCCCAUUUGGGGGCAACAAUGAAGCAUUCAUCACUCUCCGGAGCUAAGCCAUCUCGAGUAGCCCUCAAUCAAACUCUGCUAUUUUUACCUCAGAGCACAGAGGCCACAGCGGAUAAAGGACCCUUAAGCAAGGGGAAUUUUCAACGGCUUCAUAAGCUGCUGAAAUGGACUGCAUAGUCGUCAUUAGAAGUGAAGGCCGUGAGAACAACCAGGAUUUCAGAAGAAAUUCCUUUGCUCAGCUCCUCAGAAUCGACACAGAUGAAGUUUUAAAAAGCCUGUUAUAUGUAAACUAGAUAUUCACCUGGGUGGGGAAGAGGAGAGCGUUUGUCUCGCAAUUGUAGUUUUAUCAUGACAUCCCCACUCUGGCUUUCCAAUCCCCAGAAACAGAACUGAACAACACUCUUGCGAAAAGUGGCCUUAUCAUGACAAAAUCCAUCCCCAUGGCCCUGCCAGCUCAAACCAUAAACACGGGAGUCGUUCCUAAUUCCCUCUUUUUUUCCUUGCCUUCAGUAGUGCAAAGCCAUUUGUCUCCACCUCCGAAAUCUCUCUCCAGCCCAUCUCUUUCCCUUCUGAUGCAUGGGCUCCCAUUUCUCCCUAGACUGCCUUAUUUAGC